This 298-nucleotide ribosomal RNA is filed under the name uncultured bacterium. Its description in RNAcentral is "partial 16S ribosomal RNA". It matches the Rfam family "Bacterial small subunit ribosomal RNA", at positions 335 to 651 of the family's 1533-position model. The record is from RNAcentral.
GGCCUACGGGGCGCAGCAGUGGGGAAUAUUGCACAAUGGGCGAAAGCCUGAUGCAGCGACGCCGCGUGAAGGAUGAAGUAUUUCGGUAUGUAAACUUCUAUCAGCAGGGAAGAAAAUGACGGUACCUGACUAAGAAGCCCCGGCUAACUACGUGCCAGCAGCCGCGGUAAUACGUAGGGGGCAAGCGUUAUCCGGAUUUACUGGGUGUAAAGGGAGCGUAGACGGCGAUGAAAGCCAGAUGUGAAAGCCCGGGGCUCAACCCCGGGACUGCGUUUGGAACUGUGUGGCUGGAGUGUCG